UAGGGAAUCUUCCACAAUGGGCGAAAGCCUGAUGGAGCAAUGCCGCGUGAGUGAAGAAGGAUUUCGGUUCGUAAAACUCUGUUGCAAGGGAAGAACAAGUAGCGUAGUAACUGGCGCUACCUUGACGGUACCUUGUUAGAAAGCCACGGCUAACUACGUGCCAGCAGCCGCGGUAAUACGUAGGUGGCAAGCGUUGUCCGGAAUUAUUGGGCGUAAAGCGCGCGCAGGUGGUUCCUUAAGUCUGAUGUGAAAGCCCACGGCUCAACCGUGGAGGGUCAUUGGAAACUGGGGAACUUGAGUGCAGAAGAGGAAAGUGGAAUUCCAAGUGUAGCGGUGAAAUGCGUAGAGAUUUGGAGGAACACCAGUGGCGAAGGCGACUUUCUGGUCUGUAACUGACACUGAGGCGCGAAAGCGUGGGGAGCAAACA
RNAcentral lists this ribosomal RNA (427 nucleotides) under uncultured Solibacillus sp. RNAcentral describes it as "bacterial SSU rRNA". It matches the Rfam family "Bacterial small subunit ribosomal RNA", at positions 355 to 774 of the family's 1533-position model. Lineage: Bacteria; Bacillati; Bacillota; Bacilli; Caryophanales; Caryophanaceae. The record is from RNAcentral.